Molecule: ribosomal RNA, 770 nt
Filed under: uncultured bacterium
Lineage: Bacteria
Description: bacterial SSU rRNA
Rfam family: Bacterial small subunit ribosomal RNA
Source: RNAcentral
CCCUUAGAGUUUGAUCCUGGCUCAGAGCGAACGUUAGCGGCACGCCUAACACAUGCAAGUCGCACGAGAGUGGAGCAAUCCAUGAAAGUGGCGCACAGGUGCGUAACACGUAGAUAAUCUGCCCUUCGGCGGGGGAUAACGUUCCGAAAGGAGCGCUAAUACCGCAUACAGCAGUUUCUGGUUCGCCAGAGAUUGGCAAAGGCUGGGCUCAGCAAUGACCAGUCGCCGGAGGAGGAGUCUGCGGCCCAUCAGCUAGUUGGUAAGGUAACGGCUUACCAAGGCAGAGACGGGUAGCUGGUCUGAGAGGAUGAUCAGCCGCACUGGUACUGGAACACGGACCAGACUCCUACGGGAGGCAGCAGUGGGGAAUCUUGGUCAAUGGGCGCAAGCCUGAACCAGCGAUGCCGCGUGAGUGAUGAAGGCCUUCGGGUUGUAAAGCUCUGUGGGGAGGGACGAAAGCGUAUGGUCUAAUAGGCCUAACUUUGACGGUACCUCCUUAGCAAGCACCGGCUAACUCUGUGCCAGCAGCCGCGGUAAGACAGAGGGUGCAAACGUUGCUCGGAAUCACUGGGCGUAAAGGGCGCGUAGGCGGGAAUGUAAGUCGGGCGUGAAAUCCCCAGGCUCAACCUGGGAACUGCACUCGAAACUGCGUUUCUUGAGUAUCGGAGAGGAAAGCGGAAUUCCUGGGUGUAGAGGUGAAAUUCGUAGAUAUCAGAGGAACACAGUGGCGAAGCGGCUUUCUGGACGGUAACUGACGCUGAGCGCGAAAG